AGUAGCAGCCAAACUUGCAAUAAGCGCGUGUGUUUGGAACGUGACAAAGAGUUUGGACAAUUGGAACAACAAGUUCAUACUCUUACGGAUAUGGUGGCUGAUUUGAAACAAGUCCUUCAAGCUUUCAUGGCAAAUAGUUCGGGUAAAUCUACUAAUGGAGAUUCCGAAACAAAUGCAUCUUGAUCCUUAGCUUCUAGCCACUAGUUACAAGGACGAGACAUUGAGGAAUGCAGUUGCAAAGUUUAAGCGGAAGAAAUGAAGACAAUAGGUUUGUCUUUGUUUAUUCAAUCAUGCUUAAGUGGAGAUUGUAGUUACUAACUUCAGUACGUAUUGGGCUUUUAGGUGGCAAUUAGUUUGCUUAGUCAUGUUUGACAAAUGUAAUCUUUUAUUAUUUGAUUUUAGGUUAGUAUUUUCUCUCGUCAUA
Long non-coding RNA from Rosa chinensis, 424 nucleotides. RefSeq lists it as uncharacterized. The record is from RefSeq and is a predicted model, not a curated record. Lineage: Eukaryota; Viridiplantae; Streptophyta; Magnoliopsida; Rosales; Rosaceae. The transcript is spliced from 3 exons.